AUUGAACGCUGGCGGCAUGCCUUACACAUGCAAGUCGAACGGCAGCAUGGGUGCUUGCACCUGAUGGCGAGUGGCGAACGGGUGAGUAAUGCAUCGGAACGUACCCGGAAGUGGGGGAUAACGUAGCGAAAGUUACGCUAAUACCGCAUAUUCUGUGAGCAGGAAAGCGGGGGAUCGCAAGACCUCGCGCUUCCGGAGCGGCCGAUGUCGGAUUAGCUAGUUGGCGGGGUAAAGGCCCACCAAGGCAACGAUCCGUAGCGGGUCUGAGAGGAUGAUCCGCCACACUGGGACUGAGACACGGCCCAGACUCCUACGGGAGGCAGCAGUGGGGAAUUUUGGACAAUGGGCGCAAGCCUGAUCCAGCCAUGCCGCGUGAGUGAAGAAGGCCUUCGGGUUGUAAAGCUCUUUCGGCGGGGAAGAAAUCGCAUCUCCUAAUACGGGGUGUGGAUGACGGUACCCGAAUAAGAAGCACCGGCUAACUACGUG
RNAcentral lists this ribosomal RNA (486 nucleotides) under uncultured bacterium. Its description in RNAcentral is "bacterial SSU rRNA". It matches the Rfam family "Bacterial small subunit ribosomal RNA", at positions 29 to 507 of the family's 1533-position model. The record is from RNAcentral.